AGCUACGUUCGGAAGGGAUAAGCGCUGAAAGCAUAUAAGCGCGAAACCCACCACAAGAUGAGAUUUCUUUAAAGGGCCGUGGAAGAUUACCACGUUGAUAGGUCAUAGGUGUAAAGGCAGCAAUGUCAUAGCCGAGUGAUACUAAUAGCCCAUAGGCUUAUUGUA
RNAcentral lists this ribosomal RNA (165 nucleotides) under Gelidibacter pelagius. Its description in RNAcentral is "partial 23S ribosomal RNA". It matches the Rfam family "Bacterial large subunit ribosomal RNA", at positions 2747 to 2925 of the family's 2925-position model. Lineage: Bacteria; Pseudomonadati; Bacteroidota; Flavobacteriia; Flavobacteriales; Flavobacteriaceae. The record is from RNAcentral.